RNAcentral lists this ribosomal RNA (253 nucleotides) under uncultured bacterium. RNAcentral describes it as "partial 16S ribosomal RNA". It matches the Rfam family "Bacterial small subunit ribosomal RNA", at positions 524 to 776 of the family's 1533-position model. The record is from RNAcentral.
UACGGAGGGUGCAAGCGUUAUUCGGAUUUAUUGGGCGUAAAGGGCGCGUAGGCGGUUUUGUAAGUCAGAUGUGAAAUCCCGGGGCUCAACCCCGGAAGGGCAUUUGAUACUGCGAGACUUGAGUAUGGGAGGGGGAAGUGGAAUUCCUGGUGUAGAGGUGAAAUUCGUAGAUAUCAGGAGGAACACCAGUGGCGAAGGCGACUUCCUGGACCAAUACUGACGCUGAGGCGCGAAGGCGUGGGGAGCAAACAGG